GUCGAGCGGUACAGAUUGAUAGCUUGCUAUCAAUGCUGACGAGCGGCGGACGGGUGAGUAAUGCCUGGGAAUAUGCCCUGAUGUGGGGGAUAACUAUAGGAAACGAUAGCUAAUACCGCAUAAUCUCUUCGGAGCAAAGAGGGGGACCUUCGGGCCUCUCGCGUCAGGAUUAGCCCAGGUGGGAUUAGCUUGUUGGUGGGGUAAUGGCUCACCAAGGCAACGAUCCCUAGCUGGUCUGAGAGGAUGAUCAGCCACACUGGAACUGAGACACGGUCCAGACUCCUACGGGAGGCAGCAGUGGGGAAUAUUGCACAAUGGGGGAAACCCUGAUGCAGCCAUGCCGCGUGUAUGAAGAAGGCCUUCAGGUUGUAAAGUACUUUCAGUUGUGAGGAAGGCGUUGAUGUUAAUAGCUUCAGCGUUUGACGUUAGCAACAGAAGAAGCACCGGCUAACUCCGUGCCAGCAGCCGCGGUAAUACGGAGGGUGCGAGCGUUAAUCGGAAUUACUGGGCGUAAAGCGCAUGCAU
This 525-nucleotide ribosomal RNA is filed under the name bacterium 4878K2-B50. Its description in RNAcentral is "bacterial SSU rRNA". It matches the Rfam family "Bacterial small subunit ribosomal RNA", at positions 61 to 574 of the family's 1533-position model. The record is from RNAcentral.